CUUUUUAAAUUUUUUUUUCCUUUAAAAGUUUUAAUCCACCUUGUAACACCACCCAAAAAGAAGCGAAAUUAAGCUGCAGUGUGUACUAGGAGAGAAAACCUACUUUAUUUAUCACCCAGCCCUACUUCACCAUGCACUGACCUAAUUACAGCCCACACCAGGCUGGGUAGGAGGAGCAGCAGAAGGAGCGCUUCUGCCACCUAGUGAUCCCUGUCAAUCCCUUUGUGGAAUUGGCGUUUUCCUGUCCCCAGCGCUCGACAGCAAGCGACCUUCCCCAGCCAGCCUGCCUGGAUGCCGGGUUUAUCUGCACACCGCUCUCUUCUCCUCUUUUACGGCUCCAAAACAUCGCUCACGGAUGAAUUCUGACCUACGGCUGGCAACGCUCAGGAAGGCAGCUGUCCUGAACUCCUUUUAUACUUGCAAAACCCAAAUGAAAAAUGAGCAGGAAAAGGACCAUAAUGAUAAUGAUCAACUCAUGAUUACUAAAUGAAAGUGAGAGUUAAAUUAAAGGAG
This 513-nucleotide long non-coding RNA is filed under the name Zonotrichia albicollis (white-throated sparrow). RNAcentral's name for it is "lncRNA (ENSZALG00000009336.1)". Lineage: Eukaryota; Metazoa; Chordata; Aves; Passeriformes; Passerellidae. The record is from RNAcentral.